Molecule: ribosomal RNA, 315 nt
Filed under: uncultured Glomeromycotina
Lineage: Eukaryota; Fungi; Glomeromycota
Description: LSU rRNA
Source: RNAcentral
UUGAAAGGGAAACGAUUGAAGUCAGUGUACCUGUGGGGGAUCAGGCUUUUGGGUGUGAUUUUGUGGGGGGUGAAGAGUAAACGCCUUCAUGCCUGGUAUUCCUGCACUUGGGGUAUUUACCCGUGGGGGAAGUUAACAUCAAUUUCGGUCGUCAUAAAAUGGCUGGAGGAAUGUAGCUUCGAUCUUGUAUUGGAGUGUUAUAGCCUUCGGUAGGUGUGGUGGUCGGGAUUGAGGGUUGCAACGAUACCCUUCGGGGGUAACCCGUUAGAUCAAAUUGAUGGGCGAUGGGUUACAUUCGUUAAGGAUGUUGACGUA